Molecule: long non-coding RNA, 3713 nt
Organism: Oreochromis niloticus (Nile tilapia)
Lineage: Eukaryota; Metazoa; Chordata; Actinopteri; Cichliformes; Cichlidae
Exons: 2
Source: RefSeq, a predicted model, not a curated record
GCUGUCCAACUCUUCAUACUAGAGACCCUUUCUUGGAUGUCCGCCACUGUGAUGGUUACUGGACCGUGUUCAGGGAGGUUGAUUUGGUCUGUUCUUAGAUCCACUAGCGACUGAGCAUUGUUGUUAUUUGUUCCGUCCUUCUCCCAUAGGCAAUUCCAAUAUUGCUCCGUCUCCAGCCUUGGUGGUGCUGUUCUCAAAUUGUUCCCCUGCCACUGAGAGUGCGGCUUGGCUGGCUCCGUGGAGAACAGCUGGUUUAUUCUCCUGCCUUCGAUCUCUCUGGUGUAUCUCUUCACACGGCUGGCAAAUGCUGUGAGUCUUUGCUUGGCAGUUUCCAAGGCCUCAGGUAUGGACAGCUUGCUGUACUUCUAAGGCACCGUCUUUGUCGCACCUUUCUCCAGCUCUGAUAGUUGGCUAACCUCCCUCCGUGCUACUUUGAUCUUAGCCUCUAGUCUCCUUUUCAAUGGAGGGUACUGCUCCUUGUGGCUGUUUAGCUUGUAGCCAAGUAUCUCACUGAUCACUGCUGCUGUAGCAUAGAUCAGCUACUUAGUAUCGGUAAUGGUAAUGUAGCGGUAGUGCUGCAUUCACACCAUCUAGUAGAUCUUCUGAUCUUCUGAGGGUACUUCAUGCAGUCUUUCAGGUCAGUUUCUCUCGCACUAAGCGAUCCUUCUUCCAUCGCACUUGGGACUUGGUACCCAAUCUCGGGUGGGGGUGAUGAUAUAUCCCCCCGGCCUGUCGUCCUGCCUCCCCCUUGCUGUAGCAUGUGUGUUGUACCUCAUCAAUCUCUAGCUGUGAGAGCAAUCCCUUCUUCCGAUUCCGCUAGGGUUACUUGCGUAGUAGCAUGCCAUUAGCGCCCUAUUUUUUUCUACAUAUGACAAAACUCUUUCCGCCAGAUAUGUAAGGUAAGUGUGUGUAACCAAAUAAACACCUAAAGUCUGUAUAUCUAUUGACUUAAUAAAAGGUUUCAUGUUCAAGGUCAUGAUGCACUCUGUCUUCAUUAUCAGGCCAGUGCCUACAUGAGAACUGAACUGAAAGGAGUUCAGUUCUUUUAACUUUCUUUUUUCAAUAAAUCUCAGAAAAUGAAAGAGUGAUUGCCUCAGAGGAAAUUAUUGAGGUGACAAGUGUUCGACAACUGAGAGCAGACAGAAUCACCACUGAAAUCUCAGUUGAUAAAAAAUCCAGAGUGAAGAGUGAAUGAGACCGACUUAAAUAAUUUGUCCUGGAGAAAUUAAAAUACAAUCUGAAAUUUGAUUUAAAGAAUUUGAAAUCAUCCUGUAUUUGGUAAAACACUGUGUUUGGUGGACUUGUUUUUAGACAGUACAUCUUGGAUCUGGAGAAUUUUCACUUGUUCUGUUGGCAGAUUUUUUUCACUUAUUUGAAGCAAAAAUAUCUUGUGAAGAAAAAAUCUGCCAAUGGAACAAGUGAAAAUUCUCCAGAUCCAACAUGCACUGCCUAAAAACAAGUUCAUAUAUAUCACUGAAACACUGUUACUCUGUAGCUGAUUGUGUCUCAUUUUAAGUGUGAUGAGAUAUUUUUGAUUAGAAAUAAGACAAAUAUACUUGUUAAGAUUUUGAGUUCUUGCAGUGUAUGAUUUAAUUAUGUGUUCUCCUUCUAAGCCGGUGUUAAGAAAUAAAUAUAUAUUCUUAAUGCUUAUUUUCUGAUUAUACUGUUUUAUGUAUUUCAGAAAUAGAGGCCUUAUAAACCAAGCCCAGAGGAGACAAAGAACUAGGUCAGAGGGUGACAGGUCGCCUUGGCAACCGAGACUUCAGUAAGGGGAAGUAAAGAAACAGGAAGUUUAGUGCAGAGCUGCAGAGGCAUAUUAAUAAAAUACAGGAAAUCAGACAGAAAAAACUAUGUGUGUGUGUGUGACGUGCAGCAGAACUAUAAAUUCAUUCUGGCUUGUAAUGCUUGAGACAUGAGCGUGUGUGUUCGUGUGUUCACGUCUCCGUUUCCGGAAAUGUAAAAUAAAUAUCAUUUUUUGAACUUGACCACUCUGAGUCCAGUCUUUCUCUGUCGCCAAAAGAAUUCAAAAGAACGGAAUUUAAUACUUGUUGCCAGUGACCCGGAUUCUUUUGCGGCUGAGAGGACAAAUUCGGCUUAAGGUGGGAUCUGAUAUGAGGCGAACAGGAGACCGGUCUAAAAAGAUUUAAAGGUAGGCACAAGCCUGUUCAAAGAAAAAGCAAAAUUGUGCACAUUGGAUGAAUUCUAAAUUAUCUGUUCGCUGAGUAGAUGAUCUCCACCAUUAAAUUGGCUCAGUAGUGGUGAAAUUAUAGUAAAUUAUGAAAUCUGUUAAGUAGAUUUCGGGUGACAUGUCCAUGGUGAUUUUGGGUAAUUUGUGAUAAAUAAAAAGUAAAGUCUGGGGAAUAUUUGAUGAAAGCUUAUUGUUGUUAAUGCUGGGGUGAAUUUUAAAGCUGAUGUGACAUGUGCUUGAAGUUGAUGUGUUAUGGGUGUGUCAAUUGUGUUAUCUCAGCCAAGAAAAGAGAUUAGAUUAGGAUAUUUGGUUAAGGGAUUUAAUUCCCAAAUUGAUUAAAAGGGUUGGACCAGAGCAUCAGAUAAAUAAACUGGCGGUUAGAGUCCACAGUGAUGCUUCUAAAUGUAUUUAAAUUAUUUAGGACGGGGAGGGCGGUCCAUAGGGGUGCAAAAGGUUCGGGGUUGGUUCCCCCACUUUACUGCGGACGCGCGGUAGAGACCUGCGGCGACAGGAGAUCCCGGGUGAUUCCUGCGACCACUGAGGACGGUCGUUAAUAAUCAGUGUUCAAGUACCACUUUUGUUGCACGGAUUGAGCAAUAAAGCGGGGCUUCGGCGUGACCAUUUCAACGCGAGUGACCAGUAAAGCUUUAAGUAAAGCUUCAGGCGUCAGUGGGAUACUGAGACGCUGGUUAAGUGGAGCUUCCGGUCAAGCUGCGGGGAGCGCUUUUAAAUUAAUAUAGGGCCUAGAAAUUUGACCGUUAUCGGUGACGGCGUUCCCGAAGCCAGCUGAUUGACCAGCAAGGUGGGCGGACCUGGGCCUUAGAGGCUUUUAAAUUAGUCGAAAAGGUAGGAUGACCGGUUCCGGGGGCAGACGAUGUGAAAUGUGUUAAUACAGGUGCCCAUGGACUUGCUCAACCUCCUGGAAGAAUACAGCGGCAAAAUGAUAGAUUAACAGAAUUGGGAUGAAAACAGGCCAGGCUUUGGCUUAAAAUUUCACAGCUUCACCUCUCAUACUGUCCUUAUCCUGAGAAGAAGCUUAAAGGAUAGUUAAUCUCCUGAUGAAGACAGAAGACAGACAGAACAACACUGUGGACUUGAAGAAUUAACAGCAGGCAAAAGACAGUGCAGCUGACCUAAAACACUGAAGGGUCCAGCAGCAUGUAUGUUGAUGGAACAUGCGCUCUGAAUUACAAGCUGGGAAGUGUACCAGUGACAUGACUGUGUGAAAACACUGGAUUGGACUGCCUGAGUUUCAUAUUUGCCAUGCUGGGAGUUAACCGCCAAGAAAAGACUGAAAAGAUGAAGAGGGAAUGAACAGAGAAGAAGAAACGGCUGAUUUGGGCCUGUGUUUGAUUUGGGAGGCCACACAGGAAGUUGAGAGAAGAGGGGACGAGGACCGGCAGAGAGGUGAAGGAGACGUGUUACAGUGACAGCAUAGGAAAAUUGGGUUGAAAAUUGAGGCUGAAUUUGUGGGGUUCAGAAAUGUCCAGAGAAUCGCAACAGAAAGGUAAAAAAAAAAAAAAAA